UAGAGAGUGGUGUAGUCGGGAAGCACCGAGGUUUUUGAUACCUCAGGCAAGGGUUCGAGCCCCUUUUUUCUAA
RNAcentral lists this transfer RNA (73 nucleotides) under Pomadasys kaakan (javelin grunt). Its description in RNAcentral is "tRNA-Gln". It matches the Rfam family "tRNA". From Rfam's summary of the family: Transfer RNA (tRNA) molecules are approximately 80 nucleotides in length. Their secondary structure includes four short double-helical elements and three loops (D, anti-codon, and T loops). Lineage: Eukaryota; Metazoa; Chordata; Actinopteri; Lutjaniformes; Haemulidae. The record is from RNAcentral.